Molecule: non-coding RNA, 3177 nt
Organism: Ciona intestinalis (vase tunicate)
Lineage: Eukaryota; Metazoa; Chordata; Ascidiacea; Phlebobranchia; Cionidae
Source: RefSeq, a predicted model, not a curated record
CGUUAUCUCCUCUUAGUAGCUUCACUUUUUUUUCAUUUUCAGUAUUUUUUUCGCGUGCAACAUUAUAGCAAUAGCAUAUGAGGCUCGGGUUUACAGGCUACAUUCAUUUUGCAGGCUCAUAUGAGGCGUCAAAAAAGGAGACGCUCGGGCACGAGCUUUUGAGUUCGGGCUCGGCUCGACACAUCCCUAUUUUAAACUACCUUUCUCAUAGCUGCGUGUAAAAUGAAUGUAAUUUGCCUAUUAAACGUGGCAACAGGCAGUAAUUUACAAACUAAAUAUGUUCCAGAAGUAUAACUGCUUUAUAUUUACAAUGUUUUCCUUAACCAAGCAGCAUGUUUAUUACGAAACAGAAAGCAUUUACACGUGGAUUCAUUGUGUCACAAUAUCGAUUGUCUAGCCAGGUAAUUGAUCACGACACAAUAGCAAUUCACGUUGCUUGAAAAAAGGGUUAAAUAUUUGCCUUUUCAUGCAUGCAAUAUGUGUUUAGCUAUCGACUUAAAUGAAACACAUCACUUGUAACAAAGAAAAAACGGUAAAACGUUUAUUUUCAUAUAAUGGCACUUUAAGCCAUUCUUACUUAAUUGUAUAUACAUGUUAAAAGCCGUCAAAAGUCUUAGUUAAAAAAUAGGAUACGGAAACACUAGUUGGCUGUAAUUGGCUGACGAUGCGAUUCGUUACUUUCCAGAAAGCAGUGUGCUUGGUUCGGCAUAUCUCUAUCAUUUUACAAAUUAAAUUUGUUUCACCUAAAUCCAAAAGGUUCUGGUGGGGAGAAUUACAAAAUUUUGAUGCUAAAACGUAGUUCAAAGGCAUCAUUUUUUCCAAAUGCUUAUGUAUUUCCAGGUGGUAACAUUGACAAGGCAGAUUCUUCAUUUCGCUGGUUUAGUGUAUUUCAUCUGCUCACCCGAAAUGUAGAAUCACUUGGGCAAAAUUUUAUUGUGCACCAGCAUGAUGAGAUGCGGUCUCCUAUGUUUAAAAAUGGUAAAAACAAUGUCAAUUCGGGUUUACCAAAUGAAAUAUCUCUUCGUAUAUCCGCUAUCCGUGAAACGUUUGAGGAAACUGGAAUUUUAAUUGCACACUCAACCCAUGAAAACUCAAUGUCACCAUUACCAGAAAAUAAUUGGUAUUGUAGCGUUAUUGAAUGGGACCAUGCUGAGGUUGAAAUAUGGAGAUCAAAGGUCAGGGAAGAUGCCAAUGAAUUCCUUAAUUUGUGUAUUCAAAAUAAGUAUGUACCUGAUAUUUGGGCAUUACAUGAGUGGAGUAACUGGCUCACUCCAACCUUUAUGCCAAAAAAGAACUCCAAAAGAUAUGACACUGUAUUUUACAAGGCGUGCCUUAAAUCUCCUCCUAGCUACACCAAGCAAGACAAUUCAGAAGUUAUCUGCUUGAAUUGGGAAUCUCCAUCAACAACUUUACUAUCGUAUCAUAAUCAAAAAAUUAUUCUGGCACCACCUCAAGUCUAUGAAUUAGGAAGGUUGUUGAAUUUUAAGCAACAUCAGGUUCUUGCAAGGUUUACAUCAAAAAGGAGAUUGAAAGGAUUAUCUCGCUGGCUUCCUGUUCGAGCUCAAUCAACAGACGGAGUAUUAAUGUCUCUUCUACCAGAUACCACAGAAAAGCCCCCAAAUGAGCGGUCAACUGAAAAAGUUAAAAGAUGCAAAUUCGACACCUUAUCUAGUGACGAGAAAAGUGAUAAUGAAGAUCAAUCAGAAACUGUUUCACCAGUGCCACAAUCAACAAGAACAACAAUGCAACAACCAUGGCUGCAAGCUAAGCACAAGGUUAAAUUUUUUAAUCAAGAUAGGACAAAACAUAAAGUAACAAUUUUAAGUAGAGUCGGUAAAGCAACACUGAAGUAUGAAUAUUUUUACAACAUUGAAUAUAAUUUAAUUUGCCUAAUGAGGUUCGUGGCAAACACAGGUGAAUAGCUUUUUCUAAAGUAGCAGAACUUGAACAUAUUAUUGAUGAAACCAUGAUCAACAGGCUGAAAAAUUCUUGAUCUUAACAAUAUUUUUAUUAAAGGGAAGCAAAAGGAACUAACAUGCUGUAGAGAUAAGGAAGUCUUUAAAGAUGUUAAAUGAAAAUAUCAAAGUUGUGUUUAUGUUUGUUGGGUUUGCACAAUGAAGAAGAUUGGUAAGGAAUGAUACCUAAGGCAUGGUUGGUUGCUUAAGGUUUUGAGGAACAAAAAAAAACCUACAAAGAAAAUCAUCAACAUGUUCAAGGGAAUCAAUCCGUAAUAUGUUAAGUAUGGCACAAACAAAUGACAGGGUGUGUGUAUUAAGAUAUUCAGACAACAUCUUCGCAAGGGGAACCUGGUGAAGCAAACUGUCCAUCUCACAUUAUUUGGAAACUGCAUAGAUGUAUUUAUGGACUUUGAGCCAUCCCGCUUAUGGCUUGGAAGAAUAAAAUCUUUAUGAUUAAUUCGAGUGGGCAGCAAAGCACAGGUGAUCCUGCAACUUUCAUUUACCACGUCAAUAACGAACUUCAAGGCAUUUUUGCAUCUAUGCUAAUGACUUUCUAUAGCUUGCAUUGCAAUAAAACGAAAUGAAGACCAUGAUCACAAUCGCAACUUUGAGUGAUCUUGGUCAAUUGAAGCUGGUGGUUUAUUUGAAUGCAGCAGAUACUUACGUGAUGAAGGUAGCCAAGGAGCGAGUCUAAUAUUCCUUGUUGGUCCAAACAACAAAUGCAAUAUUUUAGCCUGGCAAUCCAAGAGGUUUAAAAAAGUUAUCAAAAGCACACUAGCAGCAAAGUAACUGCCGCAUGCAGUUGAGGCUACAUUAUUUUUAGCCUUUAUUAUUUCAGAACUAUGCUACGAAAAUUACCACGCUAUGCGGAUAGACAUGAUUCAAAACAAUGAACUCUUUAUGUUUACAGUGGGUGGAUUGUUAAUCGCAACUUCGUAAUAUUUGUUAAAUGUUUUGCAAAGUGCUUGUUUACCUUAAAAAAAGGAGAAUGAGUUUUUAAAUAUUUUAUAAGAUAUUUAUUAUUUACUUUAAAAAGAUUUUUAUGUUGAUCAUACCCUCUAUUUAAACUACUUAAAGUAUCACCAUUAUCCAAACAAUUGUUUUAAUAAUGUUUUCUCAAUCUCUAUGUUCAAUGUUAUGCUUGAAUUUGUGUUCCUAUAUAAGCUGAGUUUGUGUGCCAGAGUAUUAUUCUAAUAAAGUUACAUGCAUUGGAUCAAGA